RNAcentral lists this ribosomal RNA (465 nucleotides) under uncultured bacterium. RNAcentral's name for it is "partial 16S ribosomal RNA". It matches the Rfam family "Bacterial small subunit ribosomal RNA", at positions 28 to 507 of the family's 1533-position model. The record is from RNAcentral.
GACGAACGCUGGCGGCGUGCUUAACACAUGCAAGUCGAACGGAAAGGCCCUGCUUGCAGGGUACUCGAGUGGCGAACGGGUGAGUAACACGUGGGUGAUCUGCCCUGCACUUCGGGAUAAGCCUGGGAAACUGGGUCUAAUACCGGAUAGGAGCCAUUUUUAGUGUGAUGGUUGGAAAGUUUUUUCGGUGUAGGAUGAGCUCGCGGCCUAUCAGCUUGUUGGUGGGGUAAUGGCCUACCAAGGCGGCGACGGGUAGCCGGCCUGAGAGGGUGGACGGCCACAGUGGGACUGAGAUACGGCCCAGACUCCUACGGGAGGCAGCAGGGGGGAAUAUUGCACAAUGGGCGCAAGCCUGAUGCAGCGACGCCGCGUGGGGGAUGACGGCCUUCGGGUUGUAAACUCCUUUCGCUAGGGACGAAGCUUUUUGUGACGGUACCUAGAGAAGAAGCACCGGCUAACUACGUG